AUUUGGGGUCAGAUGCUGAGAUUUGGGGCCGAUUGGGCUGAAUUUGGGGUCGGGUGCUGAGGUUUGGGGUCAGUCUGUGAGAGUUUGGGGUCAGAUGCUGAGAUUUGGGGUCAGUUUGUGAGAGUUUGGGGUCAGAUGCUGAGAUUUGGGGUCAGAUGCUGAGAUUUGGGGUCCGUUUGUGAGAGUUUGGGGUCAGGGCUGGAGUUUUGGGGUCAUUUCAUGAGAGUUUGGGGUCAUUUCAUGAGAGUUUGGGGUCAGAUGCUAAGAUUUGGGGUCUGUUUGUGAGAGUUUGGGGUCAGUCUGUGAGAGUUUGGGGUCAGAUCCGGAGAUAUGGGGUCAGUUUGUGAGAGUUUGGGGUCAGAUGCUGAGAUUUGGGGCCAAUACAGCUGAAUUUGGGGUCAUUUCUUGAGAUUUUGGGGUCGUUUUGUGGGAGUUUGGGGUCAGGUGCUGAAAUUUGGGGUGGAUUCAGCUGAAUUUGGGGUCAGUUUGGGCGAUUUCGGGGC
This 503-nucleotide long non-coding RNA is filed under the name Gallus gallus (chicken). Lineage: Eukaryota; Metazoa; Chordata; Aves; Galliformes; Phasianidae. The record is from RNAcentral.